UGUACCUUGCUUAUACGAUUCUUCGGUGGCUUUUCAGUUACCGCCUCUUUCUUGGUUUCUUGCGCUCGUUGACGCAGAGCGCGAGCGUGGGCAGCCUUCGCCUUACGCUUUUGUAUCCGUUCUUUAAGGGUUGAACGGGCCUUUUUGACGAGAGUCCAUUCCUCCGUCGUAAGCUUUGCAGAAAUAUGAUUAUCUUGCCAUUGAGGCAACUGGAUCAUUUUCUGUUUUCUCGACUUUAGGUCCGCAUAGUAAUGGACCCCGUCGGUUUGUUGCAUGGCCUUAGCCAAUUGUCGAGCACGGCGCUGACGCUGUCUCAGACAACAGCCUCUGGCCCUCGGCGCUUUCAGGCUUUAAAAAUUUAUAAGGCCCAACAUAAAUUAAGCAAUCAGAUUUAAUCUGUUUCUGCAAUCAUAUCCAAACAUUGGGAUGUCCGUUCUCUUGUUCAGAGCAUUACUAAUUAAUAUUCUCAUCCCAAAUAUAUUAUGUUAUAAACUAAUAGCAGUUUAUUUGAUUUACUGUUUGUGUGAAUUUUUCGCAAGGACUUUUCUUCCCCUUAUGUCUAGGGCCUAUUUGAUUCAUUUCCAUGUAAUAUGGGAAUAGGAUUCCAAUGAAAAAAACAUUUUUGAGUUUUUCAUGCAUUUCUUGGGAAAGCUAUUUUUUUGCUUUGCUUCGCACAUCAAAAGGAAAGGGAAAACCUACCGCAUCACCAAUCCAUGCUUUGGUUCAAAACUUAAAAUUAGGAAUUGAGCAUAUUAAGAAAAGACGUGUUAAAAUUUUACACUUGUUUCCCUAAAAACCAUCAACCUCUUUUUUUAAUAUUUUUAAUGCGUUUUCCUAGCGAUUCCGCCUUAAAACUCGGAAUUGGCUUUUCCACCAAAAUUGACGUUUUAUGAUGUUUCUAAAAAGUUUUCCCAAUUGUUUUAUUAUGAACCAAACUGAGGAAUAAGAAUUCAUUUGGCUAUUUUGAUACAGGACAACUGUGUCAGUAGUUUUCCAUGUGUUUUCCACCCAAAUUUUGAGCCAAACUGGCCCUUACAGAAAACCAAUUUAUUUCUUCUGCUUCACUAAAUAUGCAGCUUUGCUUCACCAUUGCCUACAUCUCUCAUAAGAUCUAUUGUCUUGAUCUAUAAAAUUUUAUCCUCAAACAUAAAUUUCCUGUUAUUCUAUUGCGCCUAUUCAUUAAUAAUGACACGACAUAACUUGGAUUCACCCAAAUCCAGACUUCACAAAUGAUUUAUUUUCUUUCAACGUCAUCCUAUCUUUAGAAUGAAUGAAAUGUAAAUAGCUGUAUCUAUGAUACUGUUUUUAAGUUGUAUCAUUGCCUUCAAAAAGUUACCAGAGUGUUUCCACUUUCUAGUCUGCAAGAGUUGCCAAGGAACACCACACACUAUCACUGUUAUAUAUAGCGGCAAAUAGCCCCACAAUAGCGGCGCUAAUAGUGUUAGAUGUCCCUUCCCGCUACGCUAUUACCUAAUAGCGGUGACAUAUUGCGAAAUAUGCGCUUUCCGCUCACAAAAGCAGCCGACAACGCGCCAUAACGGUAAAUAGCGGACGAUUGCGUGCAAUAUUUGCUUUUUAACCGCUACUUAAAAGCGGUUUGAGAUUUUUUUUUAAAUUAAACCCGACCCUCAACCAUUGCAUCCCACCGCCUCCCGCGAUUUUCGGCAGACUCCCGCCGCCUCCCAUAACCUUUGACACCUACCUCAACACUUCCUCUCACCUCCUUCGCCGUGAGCUCCUCCUAGUGUAGUCCUCUCAUCGCUCAGCUCAUCUUCUCGAAGACGAGGACUCUUUGACUCCUCCAGUUGUCAUCGGUAUUAUACGACGGUUAUAUGUUUAUUUCAUAUUUAGGAUCUCUUUAAAUCAUAAAAUGUGCAUUUUUAGAUUUUCUAGAUUUUUCUAAUCUUUUUUUUUUAUAUUUAUACAUAUCUAAAUUAGACCGCUAUUUGACCUUGCACUUUUUACCGUUAUUUUGCCGCAAUAGCCUCAAAUAAGCCUUAGCGAUGCCUCACCGCUACGCGACGCUAUCCGCUAUCGAUAACCUUGCACACAGUUAACCAGCUUAAUUGCAAUUUUAUGCCCACAAUUUGUGCAGCAGACUUCGACAUAUCCCGUACACAGACUAAUGGUCAAAAGUUUAUUGGGUCCCAUGAACUAGACUGGAUAUGGGGUUCGCUGAUAGUGGAGAGAAUCUUAACAUUUGUUUCGGCUUCUACUUGAUUGAACUUCAUGGAAGUUCUUCAUGGAAAGGGGAAUCUCUCAAGCUCUUCUGUUCUCUACUUUUUAUCCAAAAUCUCUUCUCAUAGAUUGUUGAACCUUAAUGAAAGAACCACUGAAGUGAAGUGCAUGCAUCUUUAGUUGUGGAUCGGUAGCUGCCAAGGAGUUCAAACCUGAUGAGUUUCCUUGUUAGGGGUUCUGCUCGAGCUCUGCAGAACUGUUCUUUGAUUCUGAGUUUGCUAUUUCCAAAGAUUUGCAACCUGCAGCUGCUUUAGCCUCAAUCAAAGUAGUUGAGGUACUUAAAAUUAUGAGAACGGGAGUUAGUUCUUUAUUGAGCCGUAUAGUAGUAAAAUGUUACUAAUUUUGUACUUACUUUUGGUGAAUCGUUUACGAUUAACCAGUUGUUAUUUACUGUAUUGGUUGCUGCGCUCUAACAUCAAGAUCUGGUUAAUUAUAUUGUACAACCAUAUGAUUAGGAACUAUGAAGUUUAUGAAGAAGCUUUGAUCGCAAUUAGCUAA
Molecule: long non-coding RNA, 2736 nt
Organism: Asparagus officinalis (garden asparagus)
Lineage: Eukaryota; Viridiplantae; Streptophyta; Magnoliopsida; Asparagales; Asparagaceae
Exons: 2
Source: RefSeq, a predicted model, not a curated record